UACGUAGGGGGCUAGCGUUAUCCGGAAUUACUGGGCGUAAAGGGUGCGUAGGUGGUUUCUUAAGUCAGAGGUGAAAGGCUACGGCUCAACCGUAGUAAGCCUUUGAAACUGGGAAACUUGAGUGCAGGAUAGGAGAGUGGAAUUCCUAGUGUAGCGGUGAAAUGCGUAGAUAUUAGGAGGAACACCAGUAGCGAAGGCGGCUCUCUGGACUGUAACUGACGCUGAGGCACGAAAGCGUGGGGAGCAAACAGGAUUAGAUACCCCCGUAGUCCCUGAGCGGG
Molecule: ribosomal RNA, 281 nt
Filed under: uncultured prokaryote
Description: partial 16S ribosomal RNA
Rfam family: Bacterial small subunit ribosomal RNA
Source: RNAcentral